UACGUAGGGGGCAAGCGUUGUCCGGAAUUAUUGGGCGUAAAGCGCGUGUAGGCGGUCCGGUAAGUCGGUUGUGAAAGCCCAGGGCUCAACCCUGGGAUGCCGACCGAUACUGUCGGACUAGAGUUCGGAAGAGGCGAGUGGAAUUCCCGGUGUAGCGGUGAAAUGCGCAGAUAUCGGGAGGAACACCAAUGGCGAAGGCAGCUCGCUGGGACGUUACUGACGCUGAGACGCGAAAGCGUGGGGAGCAAACAGG
RNAcentral lists this ribosomal RNA (253 nucleotides) under uncultured bacterium. Its description in RNAcentral is "partial 16S ribosomal RNA". It matches the Rfam family "Bacterial small subunit ribosomal RNA", at positions 524 to 776 of the family's 1533-position model. The record is from RNAcentral.